Molecule: ribosomal RNA, 221 nt
Filed under: uncultured bacterium
Lineage: Bacteria
Description: partial 16S ribosomal RNA
Rfam family: Bacterial small subunit ribosomal RNA
Source: RNAcentral
CCGGUACCCACGUUCGGAUUGUAGGCUGCAACUCGCCUACAUGAAGUCGGAGUUGCUAGUAAUCGCGGAUCAGAAUGCUGCGGUGAAUACGUUCCCGGGCCUUGUACACACCGCCCGUCACACCAUGGGAGUCGGUAACACCCGAAGUCGGUAGCCUAACCGUAAGGAGGGCGCCGCCGAAGGUGGGAUUGAUGACUGGGGUGAAGUCGUAACAAGGUACC